This 587-nucleotide ribosomal RNA is filed under the name uncultured Microcoleus sp. RNAcentral describes it as "bacterial SSU rRNA". It matches the Rfam family "Bacterial small subunit ribosomal RNA", at positions 961 to 1372 of the family's 1533-position model. Lineage: Bacteria; Bacillati; Cyanobacteriota; Cyanophyceae; Oscillatoriales; Microcoleaceae. The record is from RNAcentral.
CCCGGGAACCCGUCCCGGAGGGGUACCGGUACGGACGGCCGACGAACGGUUGAAGGUAACUACGAAAACGGUAAUUAGGGAACCGGGGGCCCGGACCGAACGAACGACGGGUAGGAGUAGUGGUUAGGUUUACGUUACGUAGUCGACGACCGACGAAACGUAACCCUAACCGACGGUACGUUACGACAGUCGUCGACGACUACCGAGGUACGAACACGAGGAGCGUCCGUACGGAGCCGGACGAACCACGAGGUGGUCGACUAGCGCGUCGUCAGCUCGUGUCGUGAGAUGUGGGUUAAGUCCCGCAACGAGCGCAACCCUCGUGUUUAGUUUGCCAUCAUUAAGUUGGGCACUCUAAACAGACUGCCGGUGACAAACCGGAGGAAGGUGGGGAUGACGUCAAGUCAGCAUGCCCCUUACGUCCUGGGCUACACACGUACUACAAUGGUAGGGACAGAGGGCAGCCAACCCGCGAGGGCGAGCUAAUCCCGUAAACCCUGCCUCAGUUCAGAUUGCAGGCUGCAACUCGCCUGCAUGAAGGCGGAAUCGCUAGUAAUCGCAGGUCAGCAUACUGCGGUGAAUCCGUU